UUCGCUGUCGCGCGUUCCCUUCUCUCUCAAAUUCUCUCUAACUAAACCCUAAUCUUUAGACACUGUCACCGAAUUAGCCCUCUGUUCUAUGAUGUUUCUUUAUUGUCCUAUGCCUAUAUUGGCCUCCUAUGGUUCAUCAAUUUCUUAGAUCCUUUAGAAGAUCUCAAGAGACCUAGGCAGUCUAGUUUGCACCAUUGAUUUAUUUGCCUGUUUUAAGCUAUUUGCUCGACCAUCAGUAAGAAGUCUCUCUUAUUUUGAUAUGAAUCCAUGAUUUUCUAGACCUAUGUUCUCGUCUUUGUCAUGCUUUCUAAAAACCCUAUUAUUUAUCUUCGAUAUUCUAAGAUUUGUAUAGGUCUGAGACGAAUCGAACAUAUCACAUAUCUUUCUUUGAAAGAUUCCUGGUUUUUCUACUGUUUUUUCGUUUUUCCUAAAACUAGGUUAACCCUAAGUCAUGUUCUUUAAAGAUUUUUUGAUUUUCAAAUGUUAAUCAUCUGUUCUUAAGUGAUUAUUGAUUAAUUUCUACUAAGAUUGUUUGGACCCUAGUCGAUUUAUGCUAAAGUCCUAAUUUUCUUAUACUUUGCUUCAUUUCUAGGUUUGUCUCGUGUUGCUCAUUGCAUUGUUUUGUUCUGUGCUUUGACUUUCAUGAUUUCUCCUUAGUCUAAUUCAGUUUCUUGUGACUUUUUACCCUAGUUCAUCUCCACUAGGGUUUCUAAAUUGAUCUCUAGGCUAAUUUCUAUGUGUUUAUGAAACUUUAUUUAGCCUAUUUGUUUAUUUGUUGAAACUGAUAUCUUUCACCCUUUAAAUCGGUACUAUUUUGAAUUUUGAUUUACUGAUUUGCUCAUGUAAAAUGUAUGUGCU
RNAcentral lists this long non-coding RNA (858 nucleotides) under Nicotiana benthamiana. RNAcentral's name for it is "long non-coding RNA (NBEN_LNC011193)". The record is from RNAcentral. Lineage: Eukaryota; Viridiplantae; Streptophyta; Magnoliopsida; Solanales; Solanaceae.